ACGGAGUAGGCUCGUCAGGAAUAAGGAGGAUGUAAUAGUUAUCUAUUCUAUACAGCAGCCCAAAUCUUCUUUUAUGUUCCAGGGGGAAAAAAAUAACAGCAUAGGCUACAUGACAUGAAGUGUCUCCAGUCUCCUUUGGACAGACAUAACAGAGAUGAGAGAGGAAGAGCAGAUGCAAGGAAAAGAAGAAAGCAAGUCGUUUGGAACAACACAAUGCAGGUGUGGUGUAAAACACUGGAAAAGGAUGCAUUGACUCUUCCCAUCUGAACGUCAGUGUGUAAGAAAAUCUGCCGGAUGGGACGCAUAUCGUGUCAUUGCAGCAGUGUGAUAGGACACAGGAAAAGGAAAAUCCUCUUAAUCGAGGCUGGAUGAAUCGAGGAAGGAGGGCCUCAUCGCUGGAUGGAAUUUCAGCUCUUGGCUCGUCAUCUCUGAAGUGGCCAGAGAUUAUCUGUUUGUUUGGGGUAUCGAUCCGACACUUGAGCCUGCUCGUUGGAACCGUAUACACGUUCAGAUGGGACUUUCACCGGGGUUAAAUUCGGACCUCAGAGGCCCCGCGGCUUAACCGUGAACGACAACAUUUAUAACUUAAUGACAACUGUUUUGGAGUCCGCACGGGAUGACUAAUUCAACUCGAUGGUCAAUUUUACCACACAGAAGUGCCCUCUUCAGUUCUCCUCUCCAUAUGGGCUGUUCACCCUGUCCAAUUCAUUAGCCACUCUGGGCUCUUGUAAAACCAUGUCCCGUGAUGCACUGGUGCAGAGCUUCUAUUGAUGGUGACAGUCCAUUAAAUUCUUCAUCAAGAGGCGGUUCGAUGCCCAGAACUCCUCGUUUAAACAUAGUACUGCCUGGCCAGAGCAACCAGCCUCUGUUUACCUCUAAACCAAACAGCAUUUUGUUAUUGUUCAGGGUGCAGAGCAAUGCUGCGUGGUGACUAUGACUAUUUUAAAAAUACCACUUACACUGCAAAAAUAGCUUUUUAAUACAUUUUUGAUUAGGUUUUAUUUUUGACUUGUUUUCCAGUGCAAAAAACAAAAAAAUCAGUGUAGCAAGAUGCAUAAGAUGUUAAGACUUGUUUUCAAAGAAUGUAUCUUUAAUACUGCACUUGCAGAUAUUUUCCACUUGUUUUGCAUAUAAACAAGUUAAAAACAAGUGGAAAAACUUGCUAGAGCAAUAAGACAAUACUCUUAUAUUCAAGAUGCAGUCUAUGAAAACGCUUAAUGUCUUAAGCAAAGUUGCUUCUCGACAAUAUUUUAGUAUUACUUUUAAUGGCAUUUGUUAAUAUUUUGAAUUUCCCUUUAUUUUUAUAUUUUCAGUUUUGAUUGUGUUUUUAGUUUAAGUUUUAGUAAUUGUGUAACUCAUUUUUAUUAUUCUAUACUCAGUUUUUAAUGUUUAUAUUUAGUUUUAAUUUAUUUUUAAAUUCAGUUUUAGUUAGUUGUUUUAGUACUUCAACUUAUUUUAUUUCAGUUAAUUUCCAAGAUAACACUUUAAUAUUUUCCCCUAAUUUUUUAAGUUUUUGUAAGCUUAAGUUUUUCAUGUAAUAUUUAUAUUUUCUUUAUUUUAAUUAACAAAAAUGAUUUUUUAAUAGCUUUAGUUGUAGUUUUAGUGAACAAUACAAACUGUUUCUCAAAAGAAUUAAUGUAAAAUAAUUUUUAGACAUUUUUUAACUGGAAAAACAAGAUAAACAUGCUCAUUAAGAAUAGUAUUUUUCCAGUGUUUCAGUUUAUUAGUUUCAGGCAUACCCGAGUUACAUUUUCAAAUAAGUAGCAUGUUACUAUUCUAUUUAUGGGUCAGUGACAUGACGGGUCAUUUUUUUGUCCAAAGGCCUUAAUAAUAAUAAAAAAGAUAUGACAUCCAAUGUAUGUAAGGUAGUACAACUAGAUCUGUUUUAUUUAAUCCAAAAGGUUUUAAUUAUAUUUUGCUACAUAUAAAGGUGUUUUAAAGAUUUUGAAGUGUCAAAAGGUCAUUCGGUUUAACCGUCCAAAGGCCGAUACAGCCAUUUAAUUCAUGAUUAAAAUAUCUUAGAAUGUAAUAAAUGUAUAUAUUUUUUAUUCUGGCAUGAUUGUAUAACAUCAUAUAUCAACAUAGUGCAAAAUGGUAUUAAAAUUAUGUGUAGAAGUUGUUGCUUUGUUAUGAGAAAAAAUGUCUGGAAAAAUUUAUUUAAUUGAUGUCAUUCGGAGUAACCAAUAUAAAGCGACCAUUUUGGAUCAAGUCAUGCGGUCAAUAUCAUGUGACAGGAUGUGACAUCAUUCAGACGCCUGCAAAGGACCACAUGGUUGUGAAGCAAAGUAAAAAAAAAAAAAAAAAAAAAUCACUAGUGAAAUUCAUGUUUUCACUUCCUCCUACACAUGUCCUGAAACAUCAGGUCAUUCGGUACAACCGCUAUAAUGCAUGGAAAAUUUUGUAAUAUGUUAAAAACUUGUACUAAAUAUAAAAUGUUUGAUUGUCCUUUUGCUAGCUAGCUAGAUAUCAACCUGUUAGCAUUGUUUAAAAAUAUCGUCAUUCGGUAUAACCAAAAGUGUAAUUUGGUAAAACCGAAAUUUUGGUUAAACCGAAUGACUUUUUUGGUGACAAGUUUUGUCCAUCUUGUAAAAAAAUGACAAAAGCAGUGCUAAUUGAUUAUAAAAAACACAUAAUCUCAUUGUUAACACUUACUAAAUUUAAAAUUAAUUUAGUCUCCAUUAUGAUUUUUACACUUUUAAAAACCUUAUUCGUGAAUUACCCUUUUUUAAUUUAAAGAGAUAGUUUGCUCUAAAAUGCAAAUUCUGUUGUUAUUUACCUUGUAUUGUUCUAAAUUGAUAUGUCAUAUAUGUAUGCGUUGCUCUUGCCAUGCAGUCUUCUAUAGUCAAACAAUGUCUUUUAUUAGGGGUAAUGCAUUCAUAUGCUUUUUCUGCUUUUUCACUGUAACACAUGCUUUUUCUUUUAAAAGUGAUGAGUUUGGGAAAGGAAUCUCUUUAUGCAACCAAAAGCAGAGGAGAGUGUUGAUCUUUUGAAAACAGUCAUUAUUUUUGCCAUUCAAUUGAGUGAUGCUAAGAAAUUAUGCACAUUAAUAUGACUUUCACUGCCUUUUCUUCAAAAUUUCUUUUUUUUUAGGCUCGCACUGCAUGUCCCAUUGCAAUGAUGAAGAUUUCUGUGACAGGAUUCGACAAACACUAAACCCUUUUUUGCAUCAGGCAGCAGCAGUGGAAGAUUAAAUUGCGUUGUGGCAGUGGCGGCACAGUCAGUUCGUGGCUUCAUCCAUUAUCAAUCGUCUACUCGAGGCUUAAGAAAGGUUGACAUGCCACAGCCAGACAUGAUAAUGAAAGAGAUACUGAUCUGUGCUGACGAGGGGUCAGUGAACGGCCCUGAAUGGGUUCAUAUUGAUUACAUGAUCUGCCUUUUCAUGCUACAUCGUGCUGUCCUGAAAAAGUUGAUGUUGCACUUAGACGAAAUGUCCACUGCAAACAAAAUAAAGCUCAUGAUUCCUAUUACAGGCAGAAGGUAAGAUGGAUGGUUCAGGUCAUGCUACUGAUGCGCAAUUGGAUGCUUCAACCCCACUGACAUUCAUAUAAUAGGCACGUCCAAGACAUUAUUCCAAAACAAAUCAUGGCUUGACCAGAAACCGCUCUCAGAUUACUAAGCCGUUUAUACAAUCAAAGUAGCUGAUAUGUGAGCCACUACAAUACUUGACCCAGUUUCCAAUGGCGGUAUGAAAAUGUGCACAGA
Molecule: long non-coding RNA, 3702 nt
Organism: Ctenopharyngodon idella (grass carp)
Lineage: Eukaryota; Metazoa; Chordata; Actinopteri; Cypriniformes; Xenocyprididae
Exons: 5
Source: RefSeq, a predicted model, not a curated record